UACGGAGGGUGCAAGCGUUGUUCGGAAUUACUGGGCGUAAAGCGCGUGUAGGCGGUUUCCUCAGUCUGGUGUGAAAGCCCGGGGCUCACCCCCGGAAGUGCAUCGGAUACUGGGAGACUAGAGUACCGGAGAGGAGGGUGGAAUUCCUGGUGUAGCGGUGAAAUGCGUAGAUAUCAGGAGGAACACCUGUGGUGUAGACAGCUUACUGGACCAUUUCUGACGCUGAGACACGAAAGCGUGGGUAGCAAACAGG
This 253-nucleotide ribosomal RNA is filed under the name uncultured bacterium. RNAcentral describes it as "partial 16S ribosomal RNA". It matches the Rfam family "Bacterial small subunit ribosomal RNA", at positions 524 to 776 of the family's 1533-position model. The record is from RNAcentral.